RNAcentral lists this ribosomal RNA (343 nucleotides) under uncultured bacterium. Its description in RNAcentral is "bacterial SSU rRNA". It matches the Rfam family "Bacterial small subunit ribosomal RNA", at positions 1 to 334 of the family's 1533-position model. The record is from RNAcentral.
GUCUAGUACUCAGAGUUUGAUCCUGGUUCAGGAUGAACGCUAGCGGCAGGCUUAAUACAUGCAAGUCGAGGGGCAGCGCGAUAUAGCAAUAUGUUGGCGGCGACCGGCAAACGGGUGCGGAACACGUACACAACCUUCCUUGAAUAGGGGGAGUAGCCCAUAGAAAUGUGGAUUAAUACCCCGUAAUAUAGCGGUGUGGCAUCACACUGUUAUUAUAAUUUCGACGAUUCGAGAUGGGUGUGCGGCUGAUUAGGUAGUUGGCGGGGUAAAGGCCCACCAAGCCUUCGAUCAGUAGCUGAUGUGAGAGCAUGAUCAGCCACACGGGCACUGAGACACGGGCCCG